CUGAGUCAGAGGCUUUUCAAUGUGUUAAAACCCUUAGACAUUAAGUCAUUUUCUACACUCGUUCUUGAGGUUAAGGUGAUUUUGGAGGGUUUUUCACUGAAUUCUUCUCUAAGAAUUCCAGGUGAGAUUGACCUCUGUUUCUCGUGGCUGACAGUCGUUCUGAGAGUUGCCGUUUAGAGUCUACUAGGUGAGCACGAGGACGUCCGCCACCUUAGAGAUUCUUCCUUUGUCUAUGUCUUAUUUCAUAUCCCGAGACAUAUUCAUACUUUUGAUGUAUUUUGUUGCUUUCUGACUUGUAGUAUCUAGUUAGUUGCUCUUGUAUGGUUAGAUCAGACUCUGGGUGGAUUUGAUGUAAUUCCUUACUUCCACACAUUUCUAUAUGAUUAUCGUCAGACUUUCGU
Long non-coding RNA from Lycium ferocissimum, 401 nucleotides. RefSeq lists it as uncharacterized. The transcript is spliced from 2 exons. The record is from RefSeq and is a predicted model, not a curated record. Lineage: Eukaryota; Viridiplantae; Streptophyta; Magnoliopsida; Solanales; Solanaceae.